This is a non-coding RNA of Podarcis lilfordi (Lilford's wall lizard), 69 nucleotides long. The record is from the annotation of a GenBank genome assembly. Lineage: Eukaryota; Metazoa; Chordata; Lepidosauria; Squamata; Lacertidae.
GCUGUAGCUCAGUGACAUAGCAUCUGCUUUGCAUGCAGAAUGUCCCAGGUUCAAGCCCCAGCAUCUGCA